UUUACAACCGCUCAUACUAGGGUUUAAGUAUAAGAAAUUAUCACCUUAUGUGGCGAGUCUUAAAAUAAA
Molecule: small RNA, 69 nt
Filed under: uncultured Breznakia sp.
Lineage: Bacteria; Bacillati; Bacillota; Erysipelotrichia; Erysipelotrichales; Erysipelotrichaceae
Source: RNAcentral